AGUGAACGCUGGCGGUAGGCCUAACACAUGCAAGUCGAACGGCAGCACAGUAAGAGCUUGCUCUUACGGGUGGCGAGUGGCGGACGGGUGAGGAAUACAUCGGAAUCUACUUUUUCGUGGGGGAUAACGUAGGGAAACUUACGCUAAUACCGCAUACGACCUACGGGUGAAAGCAGGGGAUCUUCGGACCUUGCGCGAUUGAAUGAGCCGAUGUCGGAUUAGCUAGUUAGCGGGGUAAAGGCCCACCAAGGCGACGAUCCGUAGCUGGUCUGAGAGGAUGAUCAGCCACACUGGAACUGAGACACGGUCCAGACUCCUACGGGAGGCAGCAGUGGGGAAUAUUGGACAAAGGGCGCAAGCCUGAUCCAGCCAUACCGCGUGGGUGAAGAAGGCCUUCGGGUUGUAAAGCCCUUUUGUUGGGAAAGAAAAGCAGCAGGUUAAUACCCCGCUGUUCUGACGGUACCCAAAGAAUAAGCACCGGCUAACUUCGUG
Molecule: ribosomal RNA, 492 nt
Filed under: uncultured bacterium
Lineage: Bacteria
Description: partial 16S ribosomal RNA
Rfam family: Bacterial small subunit ribosomal RNA
Source: RNAcentral